ACUCAAAGGAAUUGACGGGGGCCCGCACAAGCAGCGGAGCAUGUGGUUUAAUUCGAAGCAACGCGAAGAACCUUACCAGGUCUUGACAUCCCCUGAUGACCCUAGAGAUAGGGAGUUCCCUUCGGGGACAGGGAGACAGGUGGUGCAUGGUUGUCGUCAGCUCGUGUCGUGAGAUGUUGGGUUAAGUCCCGCAACGAGCGCAACCCUUGUAUUUAGUUGCCAUCAGGUAAAGCUGGGCACUCUAGAUAGACUGCCGUAGAUAAUACGGAGGAAGGUGGGGAUGACGUCAAAUCAUCAUGCCCCUUAUGACCUGGGCUACACACGUGCUACAAUGGCCUGAACAACGGGUAGCGAAAUAGCGAUAUGGAGCCAAUCCCACAAAACAGGUCUCAGUUCGGAUUGCAGGCUGCAACUCGCCUGCAUGAAGUCGGAGUUGCUAGUAAUCGCGAAUCAGAAUGUCGCGGUGAAUGCGUUCCCGGGCCUUGUACACACCGCCCGU
This 499-nucleotide ribosomal RNA is filed under the name uncultured bacterium. RNAcentral's name for it is "bacterial SSU rRNA". It matches the Rfam family "Bacterial small subunit ribosomal RNA", at positions 899 to 1397 of the family's 1533-position model. The record is from RNAcentral.